UUUAGGUGGCUGGAUGGCAUCAGUGACUCGAUGGACGUGAGUCUGAGUGAACUCCAGGAGUUGGUGAUGGACAGGGAGGCCUGGCGUGCUGCAAUUCAUGGGGUCGCAAAGAGUCAGACACGACUGAGCGACUGAACAGAACUGAAUAAGAUCAAUGUUUUAAUUAGCUAUUGCCACAAUGAUUUCUAGCAAAGAACCAUAAAAUCUCAGUGGCAUAUAAUAAUAGGCUUUUUUUCUCCUCUCAUGGGUUUGCUGAUCAGCUCUGUAAGAUACUUCUUACUUUCUCCUGGGACCCUGAGCUAGCAUGGGCUUCUCUCAUGGUGAUGGCAGAGGUGUGAGAGAGCAAGUAGAAACUCGUGAGAUCUCUUAAGACCUAGAAUUGGAACAGAUACGGUCACUUCUGUCUCUGUUUCAUGGGCAAAGCAAGUUACGAAAGUGAAGAGGCAAAGAAACACCCUCUCCACACUGAGAUUGCACAAGUGUGGAUGAGGAUAGAGGUGAAAAUUCUGGGGCCAAUACUUGAAUCUGUUAUGUCACCUUCAAUCACAUGCAGUGAUUCCUAUGCUCUGUGAGUGGUUAAAAGGGUGUUACAGGGUUAUAAAGACUUCUCUGGUGGUACAGUGAUUAGGACUCUGAACUUUCACUGAAGGGGCAUGGGUUCAAUCCCUGGUCAGGCAACUAAGAUCCCACAAGCCACGCAACAAAACCAAAGAAAAAAAGAAAAAGAGACAAUAUUAUGGACUCACCGGUUGACCUGAAAACCUAUCUCCUGGAGGUGAUGUGAUCCAACUCCACCCCCUCCAGCUGGUGAGCUCUGUGCCUGGGAUGCCAAGCCACCCAGGUGAACUUCCAGGAUUGGAGCUGCCUUCCUUCAAGUCUAAGAUAACCAUACUCAUUUGGGCAUUAGUUAAACCGAGAUCAAAAGCUGGAUUUAUGAAAACCAGGAUAUUUAUUUUACUUUGAAGCAAAAUGUUGCUGAGCUCAUGGUUUCCAAGAGAAAAGCCACCCCAAUCAGCUCAUUGCCUUGUGACAAUCAAUGACGAUUUGCUUUGUUCUAGAUGUUGGCUGUUUGUCUACAAUGGCCCAAUUUCUCUUAUAAGGCUUUCCCCUACUCUCAACUAACCCUUGAUGCCUUGAUCAGUUACUGCCUGUCACUUGCUGUGAUUGCGUACACACUUGAUUUAUGUUGGAUGACUUUUAUAAAUGGUUACACAUUUAUUUAUUUUCAUUAAAUAAUGCUGUAUAUUUACUAUAAAUUUUUGAAUACAUAGAUAAGCAAAAAGAAUCAAGCACUGAGUGCUUUACAAACAUCAUUUCAAAUAUUCCCUGCAAUAACCCAGCAAAACGCAUGUUGUUUGGUCCAUUUCACUGAAGAG
This is a long non-coding RNA of Bos taurus (domestic cattle), 1376 nucleotides long. The record is from Ensembl. NCBI's taxonomy places the organism in Eukaryota, Metazoa, Chordata, Mammalia, Artiodactyla, Bovidae.